This 497-nucleotide ribosomal RNA is filed under the name uncultured bacterium. RNAcentral describes it as "partial 16S ribosomal RNA". It matches the Rfam family "Bacterial small subunit ribosomal RNA", at positions 28 to 507 of the family's 1533-position model. The record is from RNAcentral.
GAUGAACGCUGGCGGCGUGCCUAAUACAUGCAAGUCGAGCGAACGGACGAGAAGCUUGCUUCUCUGAUGUUAGCGGCGGACGGGUGAGUAACACGUGGAUAACCUACCUAUAAGACUGGGAUAACUUCGGGAAACCGGAGCUAAUACCGGAUGAUAUUUUGAACCGCAUGGUUCAAAAGUGAAAGACGGUCUUGCUGUCACUUAUAGAUGGAUCCGCGCUGCAUUAGCUAGUUGGUAAGGUAACGGCUUACCAAGGCAACGAUGCAUAGCCGACCUGCGAGGGUGAUCGGCCACACUGGAACUGAGACACGGUCCAGACUCCGACGGGAGGCAGCAGUAGGGAAUCUUCCGCAAUGGGCGAAAGCCGGACGGAGCAACGCCGCGUGAGUGAUGAAGGUCUUCGGAUCGUAAAACUCUGUUAUUAGGGAAGAACAUAUGUGGAAGUAACUGUGCACAUCUUGACGGUACCUGAUCAGAAAGCCACGGCUAACUACGUG